RNAcentral lists this ribosomal RNA (834 nucleotides) under uncultured bacterium. Its description in RNAcentral is "bacterial SSU rRNA". It matches the Rfam family "Bacterial small subunit ribosomal RNA", at positions 76 to 947 of the family's 1533-position model. The record is from RNAcentral.
CGAACCUUCGGGUUAGUGGCGGACGGGUGAGUAACGCGUGAGAAUCUGCCCUCAGGAGGGGGAUAACAGUUGGAAACGACUGCUAAUACCCCAUAUGCCGAAAGGUAAAACUAAUUUCGCCUGGGGAUGAGCUCGCGUCUGAUUAGCUUGUUGGUGGGGUAACGGCCUACCAAGGCUUCGAUCAGUAGCUGGUCUGAGAGGACGAUCAGCCACACUGGGACUGAGACACGGCCCAGACUCCUACGGGAGGCAGCAGUGGGGAAUUUUCCGCAGUGGGCGCAAGCCUGACGGAGCAACGCCGCGUGAGGGAUGAAGGCCUUUGGGCUGUAAACCUCUUUUCUCAAGGAAGAAGAUCUGACGGUACUUGAGGAAUAAGCCACGGCUAAUUCCGUGCCAGCAGCCGCGGUAAUACGGGAGUGGCAAGCGUUAUCCGGAAUUAUUGGGCGUAAAGCGUCCGCAGGCGGCCGUUUAAGUCUGUUGUUAAAUCGUAGAGCUCAACUCUAUCACGGCAAUGGAAACUGUUCGGCUUGAGUAUGGUAGGGGCAGAGGGAAUUUCCGGUGUAGCGGUGAAAUGCGUAGAUAUCGGGAAGAACACCAGUGGCAAAAGCGCUCUGCUGGGCCAUUACUGACGCUCAUGGACGAAAGCCAGGGGAGCGAAAGGGAUUAGAUACCCCUGUAGUCCUGGCCGUAAACGAUGAACACUAGAUGUUGGGGGAAUCGACCCCUUCGGUGUCGUAGCUAACGCGUUAAGUGUUCCGCCUGGGGAGUACGCACGCAAGUGUGAAACUCAAAGGAAUUGACGGGGGCCCGCACAAGCGGUGGAGUAUGUGGUUU